RNAcentral lists this ribosomal RNA (411 nucleotides) under uncultured bacterium. Its description in RNAcentral is "bacterial SSU rRNA". It matches the Rfam family "Bacterial small subunit ribosomal RNA", at positions 370 to 772 of the family's 1533-position model. The record is from RNAcentral.
AAUGGGCGAAAGCCUAACGCAGCGACGCCGCGUGAGGGAAGAAGGCCUUCGGGUCGUAAACCUCUGUCUGGAGGAAAGAAACCCAUGGGUUCAAAUAGGGCCCAUGGCUGACGGUACCUCCGAAGGAAGCACCGGCUAACUCCGUGCCAGCAGCCGCGGUAAUACGGAGGGUGCAAGCGUUAAUCGGAAUCACNGGGCGUAAAGCGCACGUAGGCUGUCUUGCAAGUCAGACGUGAAAGCCCUCGGCUCAACCGGGGAACUGCGUUUGAAACUGCAUGACUUGAGUACAGGAGAGGAUGGCAGAAUUCCGGGUGUAGGGGUGAAAUCCGUAGAUAUCCGGAGGAAUACCAGUGGCGAAGGCGGCCAUCUGGACUGUCACUGACGCUGAGGUGCGAAAGCGUGGGGAGCAAA